RNAcentral lists this ribosomal RNA (769 nucleotides) under uncultured Russula. RNAcentral describes it as "partial 28S ribosomal RNA". It matches the Rfam family "Eukaryotic large subunit ribosomal RNA", at positions 216 to 962 of the family's 3401-position model. The record is from RNAcentral. Lineage: Eukaryota; Fungi; Basidiomycota; Agaricomycetes; Russulales; Russulaceae.
GAAUCCCGUCUUUGGCACGGACCCCCAGGGCUUCUGCGAUGCGCUCUCGAAGAGUCGAGUUGUUUGGGAAUGCAGCUCAAAAUGGGUGGUGAACUCCAUCUAAAGCUAAAUAUUGGCGAGAGACCGAUAGCGAACAAGUACCGUGAGGGAAAGAUGAAAAGCACUUUGGAAAGAGAGUGAAACAGUACGUGAAAUUGUUGAAAGGGAAACGCUUGAAGUCAGUCGCGUCGAUCGAGACUCAGCCUUGCCUUGGCUUGGCGUACUUCUCGGCUUGACGGGUCAGCAUCGAUUUCGACCCUCAGAUAAUGAUGGGGGAAAGGUGGCACCUUUACAGGUGUGUUAUAGUCCUCUAUCGGAUGUGCGGGUUGGGAUCGAGGAACUCAGCACGCACCUCUCGGUGUCGGGGCCUCGGCCCACGUUCACGUGCUUAGGAUGCUGGCGUAAUGGCUUUAAACGACCCGUCUUGAAACACGGACCAAGGAGUCUAACAUACGCGCGAGUGUUUGGGUGGAAAACCCAUGCGCGCAAUGAAAGUAAAAGUUGGGACCUCUGUCGUGGAGGGCACCGACGCCCGGACCAGACCUUCUGUGACGGCUCUGCGGUAGAGCGUGUAUGUUGGGACCCGAAAGAUGGUGAACUAUGCCUGAAUAGGGUGAAGCCAGAGGAAACUCUGGUGGAGGCUCGUAGCGAUUCUGACGUGCAAAUCGAUCGUCAAAUUUGGGUAUAGGGGCGAAAGACUAAUCGAACCAUCUAGUAGCUGGUUCCUGCC